GCGGCAGGCCUAACACAUGCAAGUCGAGCGGUAGCACAGAGAGCUUGCUCUCGGGUGACGAGCGGCGGACGGGUGAGUAAUGUCUGGGAAACUGCCUGAUGGAGGGGGAUAACUACUGGAAACGGUAGCUAAUACCGCAUAAUGUCGCAAGACCAAAGUGGGGGACCUUCGGGCCUCAUGCCAUCAGAUGUGCCCAGAUGGGAUUAGCUAGUAGGUGGGGUAACGGCUCACCUAGGCGACGAUCCCUAGCUGGUCUGAGAGGAUGACCAGCCACACUGGAACUGAGACACGGUCCAGACUCCUACGGGAGGCAGCAGUGGGGAAUAUUGCACAAUGGGCGCAAGCCUGAUGCAGCCAUGCCGCGUGUGUGAAGAAGGCCUUCGGGUUGUAAAGCACUUUCAGCGGGGAGGAAGGCGGUGAGGUUAAUAACCUCACCGAUUGACGUUACCCGCAGAAGAAGCACCGGCUAACUCCGUGCCAGCAGCCGCGGUAAUACGGAGGGUGCAAGCGUUAAUCGGAAUUACUGGGCGUAAAGCGCACGCAGGCGGUCUGUCAAGUCGGAUGUGAAAUCCCCGGGCUCAACCUGGGAACUGCAUUCGAAACUGGCAGGCUAGAGUCUUGUAGAGGGGGGUAGAAAUUCCAGGUGUAGCGGUGAAAUGCGUAGAGAUCUGGAGGAAUACCGGUGGCGAAGGCGGCCCCCUGGACAAAGACUGACGCUCAGGUGCGAAAGCGUGGGGAGCAAACAGGAUUAGAUACCCUGGUAGUCCACGCCGUAAACGAUGUCGAUUUGGAGGUUGUGCCCUUGAGGCGUGGCUUCCGGAGCUAACGCGUUAAAUCGACCGCCUGGGGAGUACGGCCGCAAGGUUAAAACUCAAAUGAAUUGACGGGGGCCCGCACAAGCGGUGGAGCAUGUGGUUUAAUUCGAUGCAACGCGAAGAACCUUACCUGGUCUUGACAUCCACAGAACUUUCCAGAGAUGGAUUGGUGCCUUCGGGAACUGUGAGACAGGUGCUGCAUGGCUGUCGUCAGCUCGUGUUGUGAAAUGUUGGGUUAAGUCCCGCAACGAGCGCAACCCUUAUCCUUUGUUGCCAGCGGUCCGGCCGGGAACUCAAAGGAGACUGCCAGUGAUAAACUGGAGGAAGGUGGGGAUGACGUCAAGUCAUCAUGGCCCUUACGACCAGGGCUACACACGUGCUACAAUGGCAUAUACAAAGAGAAGCGACCUCGCGAGAGCAAGCGGACCUCAUAAAGUAUGUCGUAGUCCGGAUUGGAGUCUGCAACUCGACUCCAUGAAGUCGGAAUCGCUAGUAAUCGUAGAUCAGAAUGCUACGGUGAAUACGUUCCCGGGCCUUGUACACACCGCCCGUCACACCAUGGGAGUGGGUUGCAAAAGAAGUAGGUAGCUUAACCUUCGGGAGGGCGCUUACCACUUUGUGAUUCAUGACUGGGGUG
RNAcentral lists this ribosomal RNA (1452 nucleotides) under uncultured organism. RNAcentral's name for it is "SSU rRNA". It matches the Rfam family "Bacterial small subunit ribosomal RNA". The record is from RNAcentral.